This 241-nucleotide ribosomal RNA is filed under the name uncultured Haemophilus sp. Its description in RNAcentral is "partial 16S ribosomal RNA". It matches the Rfam family "Bacterial small subunit ribosomal RNA", at positions 95 to 339 of the family's 1533-position model. Lineage: Bacteria; Pseudomonadati; Pseudomonadota; Gammaproteobacteria; Pasteurellales; Pasteurellaceae. The record is from RNAcentral.
GUGGCGGACGGGUGAGUAAUGCUUGGGAAUCUAGCUUAUGGAGGGGGAUAACUACGGGAAACUGUAGCUAAUACCGCGUAGAAUCGAGAGAUGAAAGUGUGGGACCUUCGGGCCACAUGCCAUAGGAUGAGCCCAAGUGGGAUUAGGUAGUUGGUGAGGUAAAGGCUCACCAAGCCGACGAUCUCUAGCUGGUCUGAGAGGAUGACCAGCCACACUGGGACUGAGACACGGCCCAGACUCC